This is a non-coding RNA of Candidatus Woesebacteria bacterium, 3764 nucleotides long. NCBI's taxonomy places the organism in Bacteria, Candidatus Woeseibacteriota. The record is from Rfam.
CCGCUAAAUCUAAUUAACGCAGACAGCGGAUACCCUGGCCUUUUCAACCGAUGAAGGACGCACAAGGCGUGCGAUACGCGCCGGCUAGCUGCCAAGAAGCAUUUUAAGCCGACGAUUUCCGAAUGGGGAAACCCGUUCCCGUUUGCGCGGGAUCAGUCACACACCAAGUUCCUGAACUUGUUUCAGGAUAUUAAUGUGUGGCAGGGAACCACUCGAACUGAAACAUCUUAGUAGGGUGAGGAAAAGAAAUUAAUAAAGAUUGCCUUAGUAGCGGAGAGCGAAACGGCAAAAGCCCAAAUCCGGCACUAGCUUGCUAGUGCUGGAGGUUGUAGGAGCCUGACAUGGGAGUUAAUAAGCUAGUAGAACAAUCUGGAAUGGUUGACCAUAGAGAGUGAAAGUCUCGUACACGAAAGCAAUGUAACCCCUAAGGAAUUCCUGAGUACCACGGUGUAAAUACUCUGUGGGAAUCUGUGGUUCGACGUAGCUCACCACACGGUGAGUGAAAUCGAAUCCGUGGGGGAACCAUCCUCCAAGGCUAAAUAUUGAAAAGGACCGAUAGUGAACUAGUACCGUGAGGGAAAGGUGAAAAGAACCCCAGAAGGGGAGUGAAAUAGAACAUGAAACUGUUUGCGGACAAACCGACAGAGUGCUGAACUUGUUUUGGUAUGAUGUCGUGCCUAUUGAAGAAUGAUCCGGCGAGUUGCCUCAUACUGUUGUCUAACUCCUUAAUGGAGGGAGGCAAAGGGAAACCGAGUGCUAACAGUGCGUUUAUAACAGUAUGUGGCAGACCCGAAACCAGGCGAACUAACCAUGAGCAGGGUGAUCCCCGAUGAAAAUCGGGGGGAGGCCCGAACCGGUGUAAGUUACAAUUUGCUCGGAUGACUUGUGGUUAGAGGUAAUAUGCCAAUCGAGCCUGGAGAUAGCUGGUUCUCCCCGAAAGGUCUUUAGGGACUUACGGUCAUGAAUAAAUUUGCGGGAGGUAGAGCUACUGAAUGGGGCACUAAGGGUAACCAAGGUGUUCCAACCAAACUCCGAAUUACUGCAAAAGAUCCGUGACUAGACAGCCAUGCAGGGCUAAGCUUGUGUGGCUAGAGGGAAACAACCCAGACUCUCGGCUAAGGCCUCUAAAUUUUGACUAAGUUUGAAAGGAAGUCGUGCACCCCAGACAGCUAGGAGGUUGGCUUAGAAGCAGCCACCCUUUAAAGAAAGCGUAACAGCUCACUAGUCGACUGGUGUGCGGCGCCGAAGAUUUAUCGAGGAUUAAGUCAAAUGCCGAAGCUAGAGCCCUGAACUUGUUUCAGGGGGUAGGGGAGCGUUCCAAGGGCUGUGAAGCCCCGAUGUAAAUCGGGGUGGAGCGCUUGGAAGUGAGAAUGCCGGAAUGAGUAGCGUACAAUGCUGAUGAGAAUUCAGCACGCCGAAUGCCCAAGGUUUCCACAGCUAUGUUCGUCAUCUGUGGGUUAGUCGGCUCCUAAGGCGAGGCCAACUGGCGUAGUCGAUGGACAACUGGUUAAAAUUCCAGUACUUGUUUUGGGCCGUUACUAGUUGGGGAUUGACUGGAUUGGAGAUUCAAAGCCCUUUAAGAAUUAGGGUGCAAACAGUUAAAUAGUGCAAGUCGGAAAAUCCGCUUGUAUGAUUAAUUGAGCUGUUAUGCAAAGUCCAUAGAGAUAUGGGUGAUUUUGACUUCUUCAGUCUACAAGAAAAGAUUCGCAACGAGGACCAAGAUGAGCCGUACCGCAAACCGACACAGGUGGGCAGGUAGAGAAUACUAAGGCGAGCGAGAGAAAGAUCCUUAAGGAACUCGGCAAACAAACUACCCGUAACUUCGGGAGAUGGGUUCCCUGAACUUGUUUCAGGGUGCAACAAAAGUGUGCUGGUCGACUGUUUAACAAAAACACAGGUCCAUGCAAACCCGUAAGGGAAAGUAUAUGGGCUGACGCCUGCCCAGUGCCGGUAGGUUAAAGGGAUCCCUGUUUUACUUUCGGGUAACUCGGGGUGAACCGAAGCUCCGGUAAACGGCAGCAGUAACUAUAACUGUUCUACGGUAGCCGAAAGUCGUUGCCGUAGUAAAACCUAGCUAUAUGCUGGAACAUCCCGUUAAACAAGAGCUACUAUGGUACAAUUAUCCUGUAGAUAAUGGUAUCAAGUAAAAAUGCUUUUGGUAGGGACAAUCAGCAGGAAAGACUCAAGACAAUUGGUUGGGUGGUAGGAUUCAUUGAUGGUGAAGGCUGUUUUUCAGUUUCACUUCAUAAAAAUCCAACCACCAGGCUUGGUUGGCAAAUAAUGCCAGAGUUUGUAGCAACGCAAGGUGAAAGAAGCCUAAAAUCUCUUGAAAAAUUACAAUCGUUUUUUGAUUGUGGUCGAAUUUUUGUGAAUCGUCGAUAUGACAAUCACAGAGAAAAUCUUUACAGAUUUUGUGUUCGAUCAUUCUCAGAUUUGAAAGACAAGAUUGUUCCAUUCUUUCAAGAAAACAGGCUUCAAACUGCAAAAUCUCAAGAUUUUGAGAUUUUUGCUAAAAUAAUAAAUUUGAUGGAUAAGAAAGAACAUCUUUCUAAAGAAGGUAUCAAAAAAAUUAUUGCACUUGCAGCGACUAUGAACACCAAGAAAAGAAAACAAUUGUUUAGAGAAUCCCCAGAGACUAUACGCUAGGGUCCGAUGUCAUAUCGGACAUGAUAUAGUCCGAUCUCUGUGGAGACACAGAGUUAACAUUUCAGAGCGAAGUUCCUUGUCACUUAAUUGGUGACGUGCACGAACGGCGUAACGAGCUAGCAACUGUCUCGAGGAUCUACUCGGCGAAAUUGCGUUGGCUGUGAAGACGCGGCCUACUUCCAUCAGGACAAAAAGACCCCGUGAAGCUUUACUGUAGCUUGGCAUUGCCCUCACAUUUUUGGAUUGUCUAGAAUAAGUGGGAGAUGGUUGACCUUCGGGUUGAUUAUCACCAGUGUAAUACCACUCGUUUAAAAGUGUGGGGCUUACUUAACAGCUCUGGAUACGAGUUGAAGGAAAGUGCUAGGUGGGCAGUUUGCCUGGGGCGGGUCCCUGCCAAAGAGUAACGCAGGGGCACAAAGGUUGGCUUGUGACCAAUGGAAACGGUCAUGAAAGCGUAUAGGUAUAAGCCAGCUUGACUGCGAGGCCGACGGGCCGAGCAGGUGCGAAAGCAGGUCUAAGUGAUCCCCUGAAACCAUAUGGGUGGUUCAGGGCUUAUCGGAUAAAAGCUACUCCGGGGAUAACAGAGUGGUCGCGCCCAAGAGUCCAUAUCGACGGCGCGGUUCGCUACCUCGAUGUCGGCUCAGGUUAUCCUGGGGCUGGAGAAGGUCCCAAGGGUUGGUCUGUUCGCCCAUUAAAAACCUACGUGAGCUGGGUUCAGAGCGUCGCAAGACAGCUCGGACUCUAUCCGAUGGAAGCGUUUGAGCCUUGAGGGGAGCUCUCCUUAGUACGAGAGGACCAGGAGGGGGGAAUCCCUAGUGUGCCGGUUGUCGCGUCAGCGGCAACGCCGGGUAGCUACAUUCCUUUAGGAUAACCGCUGAAAGCAUCUAAGCGGGAAGCCGUCCCCAAGAUUAAGGCUCGGUAAGACCCCUGGCAGAAUACCAGGUCGACCCUUCGAUUUCACUCAGGGUCAUCCUUGGGUGAAUAGGGUUGCUCCUUUGGUGAGUUUAAGGAUUUCCUUUUUGGGAGAUCCUGAGCGCAGCCGAAGGAUGAUAGGCAGGCAGUGGAAGCUCUGUAAAGGGUUAAGCUUACCUGUACUAAUUGGUCGAUGAUUGGCGGAC